UGGGGAAUUUUGGACAAUGGGCGAAAGCCUGAUCCAGCAAUGCCGCGUGUGUGAAGAAGGCCUUCGGGUUGUAAAGCACUUUUGUCCGGAAAGAAAUCCUUGGCUCUAAUACAGUCGGGGGAUGACGGUACCGGAAGAAUAAGCACCGGCUAACUACGUGCCAGCAGCCGCGGUAAUACGUAGGGUGCAAGCGUUAAUCGGAAUUACUGGGCGUAAAGCGUGCGCAGGCGGUUUGCUAAGACCGAUGUGAAAUCCCCGGGCUCAACCUGGGAACUGCAUUGGUGACUGGCAGGUUAGAGUAUGGCAGAAGGGGGUAGAAUUCCACGUGUAGCAGUGAAAUGCGUAGAGAUGUGGAGGAAUACCGAUGGCGAAGGCAGCCCCCUGGGCCAAUACUGACGCUCAUGCACGAAAGCGUGGGGAGCAAACAGGAUUAGAUACCCUGGUAGUCCACGCCCUAAACGAUGUCAACUAGUUGUUGGGGAUUCAUUUCCUUAGUAACGUAGCUAACGCGUGAAGUUGACCGCCUGGGGAGUACGGUCGCAAGAUUAAAAACUUAAAUGAAUUGACGGGGUCAUAGCU
This 579-nucleotide ribosomal RNA is filed under the name uncultured bacterium. RNAcentral describes it as "partial 16S ribosomal RNA". It matches the Rfam family "Bacterial small subunit ribosomal RNA", at positions 355 to 926 of the family's 1533-position model. The record is from RNAcentral.